CCUCAGUUGGUUAGAGCGUGGUGUUGAUAACACCAAGCUCAUGGGUUCAAUUCCCAU
RNAcentral lists this transfer RNA (57 nucleotides) under Apaloderma vittatum (bar-tailed trogon). It matches the Rfam family "tRNA", at positions 10 to 63 of the family's 71-position model. Rfam says of the family: Transfer RNA (tRNA) molecules are approximately 80 nucleotides in length. Lineage: Eukaryota; Metazoa; Chordata; Aves; Trogoniformes; Trogonidae. The record is from Rfam by way of RNAcentral.